This 468-nucleotide ribosomal RNA is filed under the name uncultured bacterium. Its description in RNAcentral is "partial 16S ribosomal RNA". It matches the Rfam family "Bacterial small subunit ribosomal RNA", at positions 28 to 507 of the family's 1533-position model. The record is from RNAcentral.
GACGAACGCUGGCGGCGUGCUUAACACAUGCAAGUCGAACGGAAAGGCCCUGCUUUUGUGGGGUGCUCGAGUGGCGAACGGGUGAGUAACACGUGAGUAACCUGCCCUUGACUUUGGGAUAACUUCAGGAAACUGGGGCUAAUACCGGAUAGGAGCUCCUGCUGCAUGGUGGGGGUUGGAAAGUUUCGGCGGUUGGGGAUGGACUCGCGGCUUAUCAGCUUGUUGGUGGGGUAGUGGCUUACCAAGGCUUUGACGGGUAGCCGGCCUGAGAGGGUGACCGGCCACAUUGGGACUGAGAUACGACCCAGACUCCUACUGGAGGCAGCAGUGAAGAAUAUUACACAAUGGGCGGAAGCCUGAUGCAGCAACGCCGCGUGCGGGAUGACGGCCUUCGGGUUGUAAACCGCUUUCGCCUGUGACGAAGCGUGAGUGACGGUAAUGGGUAAAGAAGCACCGGCUAACUACGUG